Long non-coding RNA from Macaca fascicularis (crab-eating macaque), 1587 nucleotides. The record is from Ensembl. Lineage: Eukaryota; Metazoa; Chordata; Mammalia; Primates; Cercopithecidae.
UUUGGGUGUGUUGCCUCCUGUAAAGAACUGGAAGGAAUUUCCACUAACUGAGAUCUUCCAAAGUGCUAGACAGUGGACUAGAUUCUUUUGCUUAUAUGACUUCAUCAAAUAUUCACAUCCUUACCCUCCACCUGCAUGUAGUAGGUAUGAUUCUGUUUUACAGAUGAGGAAACUGAUAUGGUUUGGUUGUGCCUCCACCCAAAUCUCAUCUUGAAUUGUAGCUCCCAUAAUUCCCACAUGUUUCCCCACGUGUUUCUCCCAUAAUUCCCAUGUGUUCUGGUGAUAGUGAGUAAGUCUCAUGAGAGCUGAUGUUUUUAUAAAGGGUUUCCCCUUUCACUUGGCUCUUAUUCUCUCUUGCCAGCCGCCAUGUAAGACGUGCCUUUCACCUUCUGCCAUGUUUAUGAGGCCUCCUUAGCCACGUGGAACUCUGAGUCCAUUAAACUUAUUUUUCUUGAUAAAUUGCCCAGUCUUGGGUAUGUCUUGAUCAGCAGCAUGAAAAGCGACUAAUACAGAAACGAAGAUUGCUAGAAGUUACUCACCUGCCCAAUAUCAUAAAGCUUAUACACAGUAGAGCAAGGAAUUGAACCUAAAUCUAAACUCAGCUGUUUUUUCCAGUACAAUUGGAAUCUCAAUAUAAGCCUAAAUAAAAUAUAAUCCGAAAAUCAGCAAGGGUAGUUAGUGGAAAGACUAUGGAAAUAACAAGUGGGAAAUUAGGGUAUUGUUCCAUUCCAGUUUACCACCACCUAACUGGAAGAUCCAGGCAAGGACCACUCAACUUUCAGGGUAAUCAGGUUUUUAGCUGAAAAUAAAAAGGUGCAUAUUACCCACAAACCAUACAUCCAUAAUGACAGGGACCAUGUCUUUUUUCCCUGACCAUAGUGUCUCCAGCACCCACCAUAGUAUCUGGCCCCGGGUAGGCACUCCAUAAGUGAUGAACGGAUGCAUGGGAAUGCAUGUCAGACUCACCCACUAGCUUUUUUAAAAUGCACAUCCCAAAGCCAACCCCAUAAACCCUGGCAAGUACGGCCCAAUCCUAUACAUUUUUUUAAAAAAGAAGAAAACCUCUCUAGGCAGUUCUCAUUCAGACCCAUGGUAUGAAGUCGCAGCUCUAAAAUUCUAUUAUCCUAUUAAAUCAGCUGUAUAAAUAAUCUACUGCUAGGCUCAACAUAAAUUUAUUUAUUCAAUUUUACAUACUUCCCUCUUAAUUAGGACAAACAGGUAAUGCCUGCUAUAGAUUUUUUCAAAUCACUGAGAAUUUUCUCUCAUUUCUUUCUUUGUCUUCAGCUAAUGUGUCCCCUUUUGUUCCCUUUGACUGCUGUAUUCUUCUCCCAGUUGCUUUUAAGAGUCUGUUUUUUCAAUUGAACCAGUUAGAUUUGAGACCAUCAAAUCUAUAGGGAUAUGUGAUACCCAAAUAAAUUAGAAAUUAAAUUAUUUAAUUAGUUAAAUAACGCCUUAUUUUGACCAAAUUCUUGUGUGCUGGUUCCCAAGUGUUUUCUUUUGUCUUUUUCUAAAAUUCGAUGGGAAGGACUGAGAAGUUUGUCUUUUUCAACCCUCAGUAGUUAUUUCCUAUUUAAAAAAAAAAAAAAA